Molecule: non-coding RNA, 63 nt
Organism: Ictidomys tridecemlineatus (thirteen-lined ground squirrel)
Lineage: Eukaryota; Metazoa; Chordata; Mammalia; Rodentia; Sciuridae
Source: Rfam
AUUUAGCUCAGUGCUACAGCAUUUACCUAGCAUGUAAAAGGACCUGGGUUCAAUUCUCAGGAU